CCUACGGGGGGCAGCAGUGGGGAAUAUUGGGCAAUGGGCGCAAGCCUGACCCAGCAACGCCGCGUGGAGGAAGAAGGCUUUCGGGUUGUAAACUUCUUUUCUCAGGGACGAAGAAAGUGACGGUACCUGAGGAAUAAGCCACGGCUAACUACGUGCCAGCAGCCGCGGUAAUACGUAGGUGGCAAGCGUUAUCCGGAUUUACUGGGUGUAAAGGGCGUGUAGGCGGGGAAGCAAGUCAGAUGUGAAAAGCACGGGCUCAACCUGGGGACUGCAUUUGGAACUGUUU
Molecule: ribosomal RNA, 286 nt
Filed under: uncultured bacterium
Lineage: Bacteria
Description: partial 16S ribosomal RNA
Rfam family: Bacterial small subunit ribosomal RNA
Source: RNAcentral